Gordionus sp. m RMFG-2023 is the source of this 432-nucleotide long non-coding RNA. RefSeq lists it as uncharacterized. Lineage: Eukaryota; Metazoa; Nematomorpha; Gordioida; Chordodea; Parachordodidae. The transcript is spliced from 4 exons. The record is from RefSeq and is a predicted model, not a curated record.
UUUGGACAUCUAUUAUCGAAAUUUCGAGUCAAGGCAGAUAUGCUAGACAUGCGGCGAUUAAUUCCUAAUUAGCCAUAGUCUUACGAAGGCCCGAAUACCAAACAUUCCUAGAGCCUACUAAUUUAUCAUCAGAUGAUGGUCUGGAGCUAGAUCGUUUUCAGUAUUUCCUUAAUUUGGACACAUGCGUUUCUUUUUUCCAAAAAAUGUUCAUUUGAAUCGGAUUGAUAUUGCCGAGUUUUAUAUCUCAGCAUUUGCUAUGCCGAACACCCUUUCAAUAAGUGCUGAGACUGUGUCAACGCUAGGAUUAUUUUUGAACUUUCUGUUUAACUAGGUUCUUCCGCCUUUGAAGUAUCGCAAGUAGACUAGACUCACCACCAAAUCUGAAGACUCACCCAAUCAUCUGAUUAGCUUCACUUUGAUACAAAAUAAAAU